GAUAGGUCGCUGCCGCCACAGUGAUUGGACACUGACGCUCAGUCAACUAGCCUGGACAGGACGGCUCUUCAGUACCGGAGCCGGGACGGCCCGAGCCACGAGGGGGGAGGCUCGGGCCGUCCGUA
Streptomyces sp. is the source of this 125-nucleotide non-coding RNA. NCBI's taxonomy places the organism in Bacteria, Bacillati, Actinomycetota, Actinomycetes, Kitasatosporales, Streptomycetaceae. The record is from Rfam.